AUAAAACAAUAUUGUCAUUCAUUUAAAACAAUCAACAUCUUUCACAUGCAUAUGUCAUCACAAGGACUUUUUCCAAGGCUUGUAUUGUGGCUGGGCUAACAAGAAAAUUGGUUUUUCUGGAAUACAAAAUCCUUGAGUUAAGAGAGUUUAAAUCAUUAUUCAAAGUUCAAGCACACUCUAUUUUUAACCAAUCUCACUCAUUCCCAACUUUUCCCUUUUACAUUGAGUUCUUUUUAACAUGCAUAAACUCUUUUCUUCUUUUCUUUUCUUUUUCACAUGCAUUUUUCUUUCUCAUCUUUUGAACUCAAUGCUUUUCUUUUUCUUUUCUUUUGCCUUUCACUUUCCCCAUUCCACCCCAAACUUGAACCUUUUCAAUACAUAUAAUU
Molecule: long non-coding RNA, 386 nt
Filed under: Vigna radiata
Lineage: Eukaryota; Viridiplantae; Streptophyta; Magnoliopsida; Fabales; Fabaceae
Description: long non-coding RNA (VRAD_LNC013372)
Source: RNAcentral